This 433-nucleotide ribosomal RNA is filed under the name uncultured bacterium. Its description in RNAcentral is "partial 16S ribosomal RNA". It matches the Rfam family "Bacterial small subunit ribosomal RNA", at positions 29 to 507 of the family's 1533-position model. The record is from RNAcentral.
AACGAACGCUGGCGGCAUGCCUAACACAUGCAAGUCGAACGAGACCUUCGGGUCUAGUGGCGCACGGGUGCGUAACGCGUGGGAACCUGCCCUUAGGUUCGGAAUAACUCCCCGAAAGGGGUGCUAAUACCGGAUAAUGUCUUCGGACCAAAGAUUUAUCGCCUUUGGAUGGGCCCGCGUUGGAUUAGCUAGUUGGUAGGGUAAAAGCCUACCAAGGCGACGAUCCAUAGCUGGUCUGAGAGGCUGAUCAGCCACACUGGGACUGGGACACGGCCCAGACUCCUACGGGAGGCAGCAGUGGGGAAUAUUGGACAAUGGGCGAAAGCCUGAUCCAGCAAUGCCGCGUGAGUGAUGAAGGCCUUAGGGUUGUAAAGCUCUUUUACCCGGGAUGAUAAUGACAGUACCGGGAGAAUAAGCUCCGGCUAACUCCGUG